CACACUCUUUCAAGUUCUAACUGUCAAUACUAUGCUCCAGUACUCCAAAACACCCGAAAUUGUAACACCAAAAAGAAACAAUAAGAGAAUGCGAUGCCUGAGAAUGACCGUAAAUGGGUGCUCCACUCCUGUUCUUUUAUCUAGUAGUGUUAACGACAACAUGUUAUCCCUACUAUCCAUUUCUCACCUCCGUCCCAUCUGACACAUUAGUAAUUACUAACUAUCCUUUCAGCCACCUCUACACCUUAAUGCACUUAAUUAGGUCUAUCCUAAGUACAUUCGCCGUGACCUCCUCCAGAAAUUGGAAACCCGUCUCGGGUUUUAUGUAUG
This 330-nucleotide long non-coding RNA is filed under the name Physcomitrium patens. RNAcentral describes it as "long non-coding RNA (PPAT_LNC008704)". Lineage: Eukaryota; Viridiplantae; Streptophyta; Bryopsida; Funariales; Funariaceae. The record is from RNAcentral.